RNAcentral lists this ribosomal RNA (492 nucleotides) under uncultured bacterium. RNAcentral's name for it is "partial 16S ribosomal RNA". It matches the Rfam family "Bacterial small subunit ribosomal RNA", at positions 29 to 507 of the family's 1533-position model. The record is from RNAcentral.
AGUGAACGCUGGCGGUAGGCCUAACACAUGCAAGUCGAACGGCAGCACAGUAAGAGCUUGCUCUUACGGGUGGCGAGUGGCGGACGGGUGAGGAAUACAUCGGAAUCUACUUUUUCGUGGGGGAUAACGUAGGGAAACUUACGCUAAUACCGCAUACGACCUACGGGUGAAAGCAGGGGAUCUUCGGACCUUGCGCGAUUGAAUGAGCCGAUGUCGGAUUAGCUAGUUGGCGGGGUAAAGGCCCACCAAGGCGACGAUCCGUAGCUGGUCUGAGAGGAUGAGGAGCGACACGGUGAGUGAUAGACCGUCAAGCGCCAGAGGGGAAGACGGCAGGGGAAAGUGUGGACAAGGGGCGCAAGGUUGAUCCAUCCCUUCCGCGUGGAGGAAGAAGUCCUUCGGUGUAUAAAGCCCUUUUGUGGAGAAAAAAAAGCAGAAGGUGAAUCCCCCUCUGUUCGGAGGUGACCAAAAUAAUAAAGACGCGCCAACUUCGGG